GUAGCUGCGAGCGAACAGGGAAGAGCCCAGCACCGAAUCCCGCGGUCGAUACCGGGCGCCGGGAAAUGUGGUGUUUGGGAGGGUCCAUUAUCCCGAGAUCAUGCGGUGCGUCCAAGUCCUUCUUGAACGGGGCCACAGCCCAUAGAGGGUGCCAGGCCCGUAGUGACCGCUGCUGAUCGCGGGAGGAUCUCUCCUCAGAGUCGGGUUGCUUGAGAGUGCAGCCCUAAGUGGGUGGUAAACUCCAUCUAAGGCUAAAUAUGACCACGAGACCGAUAGCGAACAAGUACCGUGAGGGAAAGUUGAAAAGCACUUUGAAGAGAGAGUUCAAGAGUACGUGAAACCGUUUAGGGGUAAACCUGAGAAACCCGAAAGGUCGAAGGGAGAAAUUCAUUCGCGUUUCGCCGUCGGCGUGAGACGGGGUCGUGUGACGGAGAGCGUUCGCGCGUUUUCCGCACCUUCCGUUUUUCGAACCGAUGGCGAACGCGUGCACUUUUCUCCUGGUAGGACGUCGCGAUCCGUUGGGUGUCGGUCUACGGCUCGUGGUGGAGCCCGACAGUACGGCUUGCCGUUACGGUCGGACCCACGUGUCCUGGCUGACUCGCUCGACGGUAUACGAAAGGUUUAAGGCCGCUCUAGGAGCGUUCGACUCGUGGCAAGCGCGUCAGAUGUGUGUCGGCGACCGGACCUAGUGCCGGUUCUGACCUCUGAUGACUGUUGGCCGCGAAGUUCUCGAACAGACCUCUAACCGAUCUGCGACGCUAUAGCUUUGGGUACUUUCAGGACCCGUCUUGAAACACGGACCAAGGAGUCUAGCAUGUGCGCGAGUCAUUGGGAAACACUUAACCUAAAGGCGCAAUGAAAGUGAAGGUCCGCCUUGCGCGGACUGAGGGAAGACGGGUGGUUUACCUUCAAAGUAGCCGCUCCGCAUUCCCGGGGCGUCUCAUUCUCAUCGCGAGAAGAGGCGCACCAAGAGCGUACACGCUGGGACCCGAAAGAUGGUGAACUAUGCCUGGUCAGGACGAAGUCAGGGGAAACCCUGAUGGAGGUCCGUAGCGAUUCUGACGUGCAAAUCGAUCGUCGGAACUGGGUAUAGGGGCGAAAGACUAAUCGAACCAUCUAGUAGCUGGUUCCCUCCGAAGUUUCCCUCAGGAUAGCUGGCGCUCGUUGCGAACGAGUCUCAUCCGGUAAAGCGAAUGAUUAGAGGCAUUGGGGUCGAAACGACCUCAACCUAUUCUCAAACUUUAAAUGGGUGAG
Molecule: ribosomal RNA, 1254 nt
Filed under: Amphiskirra sp. NZAC 03037753
Lineage: Eukaryota; Metazoa; Arthropoda; Insecta; Coleoptera; Curculionidae
Description: partial large subunit ribosomal RNA
Rfam family: Eukaryotic large subunit ribosomal RNA
Source: RNAcentral